UAACACGGGGGGAGCAAGCGUUGUUCGGAUUCAUUGGGCGUAAAGAGCUCGUAGGCCGCUCUGUAAGUCGGAAGUGAAAGACCACGGCUCAACCGUGGAAACGCUUUCGAAACUGUGGAGCUUGAGGCCGGGAGAGGAGAUUGGAAUUCCUGGUGUAGCGGUGAAAUGCGUAGAUAUCAGGAGGAACACCCGUGGCGAAGGCGAAUCUCUGGACCGGUUCUGACGCUGAGGAGCGAAAGCUAGGGGAGCAAACAGGAUUAGAUACCCUGGUAGUCCUAGCUGUAAACGAUGGGCACUAGGUGUGGGGGGAUCGACCCCUUCCGUGCCGCAGUUAACGCAUUAAGUGCCCCGCCUGGGGAGUACGACCGCAAGGUUG
This 376-nucleotide ribosomal RNA is filed under the name uncultured bacterium. RNAcentral describes it as "bacterial SSU rRNA". It matches the Rfam family "Bacterial small subunit ribosomal RNA", at positions 521 to 896 of the family's 1533-position model. The record is from RNAcentral.